Molecule: ribosomal RNA, 665 nt
Filed under: Korotnevella limbata
Lineage: Eukaryota; Discosea; Flabellinia; Dactylopodida; Paramoebidae
Description: bacterial SSU rRNA
Rfam family: Eukaryotic small subunit ribosomal RNA
Source: RNAcentral
GAUUUUUUCAUUAAUCAAGAACGAAAGUUAGGGGAUCGAAGACGAUCAGAUACCGUCGUAGUCUUAACUAUAAACUAUGCCGACCAAGGAUUGGAAGAAAGUAAUAAAUUCUUUCAGAACUUUAUAAGAAAUUAUAAGUUUUUAGGUUCUGGGGGGAGUAUGGUCGCAAGGCUGAAACUUAAAGGAAUUGACGGAAGGGCACCACCAGGAGUGGAGCCUGCGGCUUAAUUUGACUCAACACGGGGAAACUUACCAGGUCCAGACACAGUUAGGAUUGACAGAUUGAGAGCUCUUUCUUGAUUCUGUGGGUGGUGGUGCAUGGCCGUUCUUAGUUGGUGGAGUGAUUUGUCUGGUUAAUUCCGAUAACGAACGAGACCUCAGUUUAUUAAUUAAAUAAUAAGGGUUAACUUGUUAUUUUCUUAAAAAGACACUUGGUGUUUAACCAAGGGAAGUUUGAGGCAAUAACAGGUCUGUGAUGCCCUUUAGAUGUUCUGGGCCGCACGCGCGCUACACUGAUAAAAUCAAUAAGUUUAAACCUUAAUUGAAAAAUUUAGGUAAACUUAAAAAAUUUUAUCGUGCUGGGGAUUGAUAAUUAUAAUUACUUAUCAUGAACGAGGAAUUCCUAGUAAACGUAAUUCAUCAACUUAUGUUGAUUACGUCCCUGC